RNAcentral lists this unclassified non-coding RNA (357 nucleotides) under soil metagenome. RNAcentral's name for it is "partial contains 5.8S ribosomal RNA, internal transcribed spacer 2, and large subunit ribosomal RNA". The stretch from base 1 to 120 matches the Rfam family "5.8S ribosomal RNA", at positions 35 to 154 of the family's 154-position model. The record is from RNAcentral.
GAUGAAGAACGUAGCGAAAUGCGAUAAGUAAUGUGAAUUGCAGAAUUCAGUGAAUCAUCGAAUCUUUGAACGCACAUUGCGCCCGUCAGUAUUCUGGCGGGCAUGCCUGUUCGAGCGUCAUUACGCCCCUCAAGUCCCCUGUGGACUUGGUGUUGGGGAUCGGCGAGGCUGGUUUUCCAGCACAGCCGUCCCUUAAAUUAAUUGGCGGUCUCGCCGUGGCCUCCUCUGCGCAGUUGUAAAACACUCGCAACAGGAGCCCGGCGCGGUCCACUGCCGUAAAACCCCCCAACUUUUUAUAGUUGACCUCGAAUCAGGUAGGACUACCCGCUGAACUUAAGCAUAUCAAUAAGCGGAGGA